GCUCCAAUAGCGUAUAUUAAAGUUGUUGCAGUUAAAAAGCUCGUAGUUGAAUUUCUGGUGGGAGAUAGUGGUUCUACCUUUGGUAGAUACUUACUGUUCUCCGGCCAUCCUUGGGUGGAGCCAGUCUGGCAUUAAGUUGUCGGGCUGGGGAUGCCAUCGUUUACUGUGAAAAAAUUAGAGUGUUCAAAGCAGGCUUAUGC
This 200-nucleotide ribosomal RNA is filed under the name uncultured eukaryote. Its description in RNAcentral is "partial 18S ribosomal RNA". It matches the Rfam family "Eukaryotic small subunit ribosomal RNA", at positions 588 to 794 of the family's 1831-position model. The record is from RNAcentral.